AGACCCGAAACCCGGUGAUCUAGCCAUGGGCAGGUUGAAGGUUGGGUAACACUAACUGGAGGACCGAACCGACUAAUGUUGAAAAAUUAGCGGAUGACCUGUGGCUGGGGGUGAAAGGCCAAUCAAACCGGGAGAUAGCUGGUUCUCCCCGAAAGCUAUUUAGGUAGCGCCUCGUGAAUUCAUCUCCGGGGGUAGAGCACUGUUUCGGCCAGGGGGCCAUCCCGGCUUACCAAUCCGAUGCAAACUGCGAAUACCGGAGAAUGUUAUCACGGGAGACACACGGCGGGUGCUAACGUCCGUCGUGAAGAGGGAAACAACCCAGACCGCCAGCUAAGGUCCCAAAGUCAUGGUUAAGUGGGAAACGAUGUGGGAAGGCCCAGACAGCCAGGAUGUUGGCUUAGAAGCAGCCAUCAUUUAAAGAAAGCGUAAUAGCUCACUGGUCGAGUCGGCCUGCGCGGAAGAUGUAACGGGGCUAAACCAUGCACCGAAGCUGCGGCAGCGACACUGAUGUGUUGUUGGGUAGGGGAGCGUUCUGUAAGCCGUUGAAGGUGUGUCGUGAGGCAUGCUGGAGGUAUCAGAAGUGCGAAUGCUGACAUAAGUAACGAUAAAGCGGGUGAAAAGCCCGCUCGCCGGAAGACCAAGGGUUCCUGUCCAACGUUAAUCGGGGCAGGGUGAGUCGACCCCUAAGGCGAGGCCGAAAGGCGUAGUCGAUGGGAAACGGGUUAAUAUUCCCGUACUUGGUGUUACUGCGAAGGGGGGACGGAGAAGGCUAUGUUGGCCGGGCGACGGUUGUCCCGGUUUAAGCGUGUAGGUGUGUGUUCCAGGUAAAUCCGGUUCACUUUAACACUGAGGCGUGACGACGAGGCACUACGGUGCUGAAGCAACAAAUGCCCUGCUUCCAGGAAAAGCCUCUAAGCCUCAGGUAACAUCAAAUCGUACCCCAAACCGACACAGGUGGUCAGGUAGAGAAUACCAAGGCGCUUGAGAGAACUCGGGUGAAGGAACUAGGCAAAAUGGUGCCGUAACUUCGGGAGAAGGCACGCUGACACGUAGGUGAAGUGGUUUACCCAUGGAGCUGAAGUCAGUCGAAGAUACCAGCUGGCUGCAACUGUUUAUUAAAAACACAGCACUGUGCAAACACGAAAGUGGACGUAUACGGUGUGACGCCUGCCCGGUGCCGGAAGGUUAAUUGAUGGGGUCAGCGCAAGCGAAGCUCCUGAUCGAAGCCCCGGUAAACGGCGGCCGUAACUAUAACGGUCCUAAGGUAGCGAAAUUCCUUGUCGGGUAAGUUCCGACCUGCACGAAUGGCGUAAUGAUGGCCAGGCUGUCUCCACCCGGGACUCAGUGAAAUUGAACUCGCUGUGAAGAUGCAGUGUACCCGCGGCAAGACGGAAAGACCCCGUGAACCUUUACUAUAGCUUGACACUGAACACUGGUCCUUGAUGUGCAGGAUAGGUGGGAGGCUUUGAAGUGUGGACGCCAGUCUGCAUGGAGCCGACCUUGAAAUACCACCCUUUAAUGGCUGGUGUUCUAACGUGGGCCCGUGAACCGGGUUGCGGACAGUGUCUGGUGGGUAGUUUGACUGGGGCGGUCUCCUCCUAAAGAGUAACGGAGGAGCACGAAGGUUGGCUAAUCCUGGUCGGACAUCAGGAGGUUAGUGCAAUGGCAUAAGCCAGCUUGACUGCGAGCGUGACGGCGCGAGCAGGUGCGAAAGCAGGUCAUAGUGAUCCGGUGGUUCUGAAUGGAAGGGCCAUCGCUCAACGGAUAAAAGGUACUCCGGGGAUAACAGGCUGAUACCGCCCAAGAGUUCAUAUCGACGGCGGUGUUUGGCACCUCGAUGUCGGCUCAUCACAUCCUGGGGCUGAAGUAGGUCCCAAGGGUAUGGCUGUUCGCCAUUUAAAGUGGUACGCGAGCUGGGUUUAGAACGUCGUGAGACAGUUCGGUCCCUAUCUGCCGUGGGCGCUGGAAGAUUGAGGGGGGCUGCUCCUAGUACGAGAGGACCGGAGUGGACGCAUCACUGGUGUUCGGGUUGUCAUGCCAAUGGCACUGCCCGGUAGCUACAUGCGGAAGAGAUAAGUGCUGAAAGCAUCUAAGCACGAAACUUGCCCCGAGAUGAAUCUUCCCUGAGCCUUUAAGGCUCCUGAAGGAACGUUGAAGACGACGACGUUGAUAGGCCGGGUGUGUAAGCGCAGCGAUGCGUUGAGCUAACCGGUACUAAUGAACCGUGAGGCUUAACCUUACAAC
This 2244-nucleotide ribosomal RNA is filed under the name Salmonella enterica. RNAcentral's name for it is "partial 23S ribosomal RNA". It matches the Rfam family "Bacterial large subunit ribosomal RNA", at positions 711 to 2925 of the family's 2925-position model. Lineage: Bacteria; Pseudomonadati; Pseudomonadota; Gammaproteobacteria; Enterobacterales; Enterobacteriaceae. The record is from RNAcentral.